RNAcentral lists this ribosomal RNA (498 nucleotides) under uncultured bacterium. Its description in RNAcentral is "partial 16S ribosomal RNA". It matches the Rfam family "Bacterial small subunit ribosomal RNA", at positions 28 to 507 of the family's 1533-position model. The record is from RNAcentral.
GACGAACGCUGGCGGCGUGCCUAAUACAUGCAAGUCGAACGAGAGCGCCCGGUGCUUGCACUGGUCAAUCUAGUGGCGAACGGGUGAGUAACACGUGGGUAACCUGCCCAUCAGAGGGGGAUAACAUUCGGAAACGGAUGCUAAAACCGCAUAGGUCUUCGAACCGCAUGGUUUGAAGAGGAAAAGAGGCGCAAGCUUCUGCUGAUGGAUGGACCCGCGGUGCAUUAGCUAGUUGGUGAGGUAACGGCUCACCAAGACCGUGAUGCAUAGCCGACCUGAGAGGGUGAUCGGCCACAUUGGGACUGAGACACGGCCCAAACUCCUACGGGAGGCAGCAGUAGGGAAUCUUCCGCAAUGGACGCAAGUCUGACGGAGCAACGCCGCGUGAGUGAAGAAGGUUUUCGGAUCGUAAAACUCUGUUGUUAGAGAAGAAUAAGUGCUAGAGUAACUGUUAGCGCCUUGACGGUAUCUAACCAGAAAGCCACGGCUAACUACGUG